CCUACGGGAGGCAGCAGUGGGGAAUUUUGGACAAUGGGCGAAAGCCUGAUCCAGCCAUGCCGCGUGCAGGAUGAAGGCCUUCGGGUUGUAAACUGCUUUUGUACGGAACGAAACGGUCCUUUCUAAUAAAGGGGGCUAAUGACGGUACCGUAAGAAUAAGCACCGGCUAACUACGUGCCAGCAGCCGCGGUAAUACGUAGGGUGCGAGCGUUAAUCGGAAUUACUGGGCGUAAAGCGUGCGCAGGCGGUUAUGUAAGACAGUUGUGGAAUCCCCGGGCUCAACCUGGGAACUGCAUCUGUGACUGCAUAGCUAGAGUACGGUAGAGGGGGAUGGAAUUCCGCGUGUAGCAGUGAAAUGCGUAGAUAUGCGGAGGAACACCGAUGGCGAAGGCAAUCCCCUGGACCUGUACUGACGCUCAUGCACGAAAGCGUGGGGAGCAAACAGGAUUAGAUACCCUGGUAGUCCACGCCCUAAACGAUGUCAACUGGUUGUUGGGUCUUCACUGACUCAGUAACGAAGCUAACGCGUGAAGUUGACCGCCUGGGGAGUACGGCCGCAAGGUUGAAACUCAAAUGAAUUGACGG
Molecule: ribosomal RNA, 585 nt
Filed under: uncultured bacterium
Lineage: Bacteria
Description: bacterial SSU rRNA
Rfam family: Bacterial small subunit ribosomal RNA
Source: RNAcentral